Long non-coding RNA from Zingiber officinale, 1045 nucleotides. RefSeq lists it as uncharacterized. Lineage: Eukaryota; Viridiplantae; Streptophyta; Magnoliopsida; Zingiberales; Zingiberaceae. The record is from RefSeq and is a predicted model, not a curated record. The transcript is spliced from 3 exons.
UUCCCGAUUUCUUUCCCUCUUCGCGCACAACCCUGCCCGAGCCGCCAUCCUUCUCCCCUCACCUCGCGACAGCGCCGGUUCUUCCUCCUCCUUCCCUUUUCUCUUCGCGAUGCUGCCAACCACCGCCCGGAGGACAAUCGCCUCUCACUGAUGCCGAUUCUUGAGAGCCUCCAAGUGUCGAUUCCCAAGUGCCGCUUCUCAGAGCAGUGUCGUCGUCGAUCUCCACGGUCGGCCCCUUCUUCCUUCAAUCGACUGUGUCCGUGCCCAACUCAGCCGAAGGUCGGUCACCUCUCCCUGACGUCGGUUCGUGAGAGCUUCCGAAUGCCACACGAGUGUCGUUUCCUGGAGCAACGCCAUCGUCUCCCUCUCGAGGGUGUUCUUCCUCUUCGAGCCGAGCCCUAGCUACUUCUCGUGGAGGCCGAUUUCCCCUCCUCAUCACCAGAUUUGGAACAAGGAGGUCCAACGACGCUUUCUCACCGGAUCUAGGAGUAUUCAAGAUCAUCCUCCGGCAGAGAUGGAAAAGAAGCAGUGCCUUUGACAGUAACCAACCGUAAGGUAAUCUAAUAGAUGAAUAUGGAUCGGGAUAUCUGGAUCACGGGUCAAGCAAAGGAUACUUGGUUUGGACAUUCACAACAACAACUUUCUCCGGCUAUGAGAUAGCAAUGGAAUGCAUUGAUUUGGGAUUUUGUUUUGGAACGAACGUCUCAACGUAGGAUUUCUGGACAUGAUCUACAGUUAAAGGCGGGUACCUCUUGACUUAUCUUUUUAUGAUAUUGUCAAUUAGAUAUGCAUAGUAUUUUAUAGUUGCAAGCAAUGAUCAUGUUUGCCUUUGGUAUGUCACGGUUUGAUACCCAUAGCAUGAUCUGUUUGGUCGCUUGUUAUGUAUCCAUGUUUAUACUUCAUGAUUCUUACCAUGAGUACUUCAGUUCCUAGAGUAAGUGACAUACCAUGCUUUACUGAGUUUAGGACUAGACUCUGGAUUUUUAUUAUCUGACAUGUGUAUCUAUAUUUUUAUAUCAUACCUGAUCUGUGUACCUAGACCUUU